AACGAACGCUGGCGGCAUGCCUAACACAUGCCAGUCGAACGAGACCUUCGGGUCUAGUGGCGCACGGGUGCGUAACGCGUGGGAACCUGCCCUUAGGUUCGGAAUAACUCCCCGAAAGGGGUGCUAAUACCGGAUAAUGUCUUCGGACCAAAGAUUUAUCGCCUUUGGAUGGGCCCGCGUUGGAUUAGCUAGUUGGUAGGGUAAAAGCCUACCAAGGCGACGAUCCAUAGCUGGUCUGAGAGGAUGAUCAGCCACACUGGGACUGAGACACGGCCCAGACUCCUACGGGAGGCAGCAGUGGGGAAUAUUGGACAAUGGGCGAAAGCCUGAUCCAGCAAUGCCGCGUGAGUGAUGAAGGCCUUAGAGUUGUAAAGCUCUUUUACCCGGGAUGAUAAUGACAGUACCGGGAGAAUAAGCUCCGGCUAACUCCGUG
This 433-nucleotide ribosomal RNA is filed under the name uncultured bacterium. Its description in RNAcentral is "partial 16S ribosomal RNA". It matches the Rfam family "Bacterial small subunit ribosomal RNA", at positions 29 to 507 of the family's 1533-position model. The record is from RNAcentral.